Molecule: ribosomal RNA, 472 nt
Filed under: uncultured bacterium
Lineage: Bacteria
Description: bacterial SSU rRNA
Rfam family: Bacterial small subunit ribosomal RNA
Source: RNAcentral
GGAAAGCACUCCUACGGGAGGCAGCAGUGGGGAAUAUUGCACAAUGGGCGCAAGCCUGAUGCAGCCAUGCCGCGUGUAUGAAGAAGGCCUUCGGGUUGUAAAGUACUUUCAGCAGUGAGGAAGGUGGAUAUGUUAAUAGCAUAUUCAUUUGACGUUAGCUGCAGAAGAAGCACCGGCUAACUCCGUGCCAGCAGCCGCGGUAAUACGGAGGGUGCGAGCGUUAAUCGGAAUUACUGGGCGUAAAGCGCAUGCAGGUGGUUUGUUAAGUCAGAUGUGAAAGCCCGGGGCUCAACCUCGGAAUUGCAUUUGAAACUGGCAAACUAGAGUACUGUAGAGGGGGUAGAAUUUCAGGUGUAGCGGUGAAAUGCGUAGAGAUCUGAAGGAAUACCGGUGGCGAAGGCGGCCCCCUGGACAGAUACUGACACUCAGAUGCGAAAGCGUGGGGAGCAAACAGGAUUAGAUACCCUGGUAG